RNAcentral lists this ribosomal RNA (253 nucleotides) under uncultured bacterium. RNAcentral's name for it is "partial 16S ribosomal RNA". It matches the Rfam family "Bacterial small subunit ribosomal RNA", at positions 524 to 776 of the family's 1533-position model. The record is from RNAcentral.
UACGGGGGGAGCAAGCGUUGUUCGGAUUUACUGGGCGUAAAGGGCGCGUAGGCGGGAUGGCAAGUCAGUCGUGAAAUCUCUCGGCUCAACCGAGAAACGUCGGCUGAUACUGCCGUUCUUGAGGGAUGCAGAGGAGACUGGAAUUCCCGGUGUAGCGGUGAAAUGUGUAGAGAUCGGGAGGAACACCGGUGGCGAAGGCGGGUCUCUGGGCAUUUCCUGACGCUGAGGCGCGAAAGCGUGGGGAGCAAACGGG